CCUACGGGAGGCAGCAGUGGGGAAUAUUGGACAAUGGGCGAAAGCCUGAUCCAGCAAUGCCGCGUGAGUGAAGAAGGCCUUAGGGUUGUAAAGCUCUUUCGCCUGCGACGAUGAUGACGGUAGCAGGAGAAGAAGCCCCGGCUAAUUCCGUGCCAGCAGCCGCGGUAAUACGGAAGGGGCUAGCGUUGUUCGGAAUUACUGGGCGUAAAGCGCGCGUAGGCGGCUUGGCAAGUGAGGCGUGAAAGUCCUGGGCUCAACCUGGGGACGGCGCUUCAGACUGCUUGGCUUGAGUCCGGAAGAGGGUGGUGGAAUUCCGAGUGUAGAGGUGAAAUUCGUAGAUAUUCGGAGGAACACCGGUGGCGAAGGCGGCCACCUGGUCCGGAACUGACGCUGAAGUGCGAAAGCGUGGGGAGCAAACAGGAUUAGAUACCCUGGUAGUCCACGCUGUAAACGAUGGGUGCUAGAUGUUGGGAAGCUUGCUUUUCGGUGUCGUAGCUAACGCGUUAAGCACCCCGCCUGGGGAGUACGGCCGCAAGGUUAAAACUCAAAGGAAUUGACGG
RNAcentral lists this ribosomal RNA (560 nucleotides) under uncultured bacterium. RNAcentral's name for it is "bacterial SSU rRNA". It matches the Rfam family "Bacterial small subunit ribosomal RNA", at positions 338 to 916 of the family's 1533-position model. The record is from RNAcentral.